RNAcentral lists this ribosomal RNA (473 nucleotides) under uncultured bacterium. RNAcentral describes it as "bacterial SSU rRNA". It matches the Rfam family "Bacterial small subunit ribosomal RNA", at positions 15 to 507 of the family's 1533-position model. The record is from RNAcentral.
GAUCAUGGCUCAGAUUGAACGCUGGCGGCAUGCCUUACACAUGCAAGUCGAACGGCAGCACGGGAGCAAUCCUGGUGGCGAGUGGCGAACGGGUGAGUAAUAUAUCGGAAUGUGCCCGGUCGUGGGGGAUAACGUAGCGAAAGCUACGCUAAUACCGCAUACGAUCUACGGAUGAAAGCGGGGGAUCGCAAGACCUCGCGCGAUUGGAGCGGCCGAUAUCAGAUUAGGUAGUUGGUGAGGUAAUGGCUCACCAAGGCGACGAUCCGUAACUGGUCUGAGAGGAUGAUCAGUCACACUGGAACUGAGACACGGUCCAGACUCCUACGGGAGGCAGCAGUGGGGGAAUAUUGGACAAUGGGCGAAAGCCUGAUCCAGCAAUGCCGCGUGAGUGAUGAAGGCCUUCGGGUUGUAAAGCUCUUUUACUCGGGACGAUAAUGACGGUACCGAGAGAAUAAGCCCCGGCUAACUCCGUG